This 451-nucleotide ribosomal RNA is filed under the name uncultured bacterium. RNAcentral's name for it is "bacterial SSU rRNA". It matches the Rfam family "Bacterial small subunit ribosomal RNA", at positions 354 to 796 of the family's 1533-position model. The record is from RNAcentral.
GUGGGGAAUAUUGCGCAAUGGUCGCAAGACUGACGCAGCGACGCCGCGUGUGGGAUGACGGCCUUCGGGUUGUAAACCACUGUCGGGGGGGACGAAUACAGGGCUUCGAAUAGGAGACCCUGGGUGACGGUACCUCCAAAGGAAGCACCGGCUAACUCCGUGCCAGCAGCCGCGGUAAUACGGAGGGUGCGAGCGUUGUCCGGAAUCACUGGGCGUAAAGGGCGCGUAGGUGGCUCGUUAAGUUGCCGGUGAAAUCCCGGGGCUCAACUCCGGGGCUGCCGGUAAGACUGGCGGGCUCGAGCACGGUAGAGGCAGAUGGAAUUCCCGGUGUAGCGGUGGAAUGCGUAGAGAUCGGGAAGAACACCAGUGGCGAAGGCGUUCUGCUGGGCCGUUGCUGACACUGAGGCGCGACAGCGUGGGGAGCAAACAGGAUUAGAUACCCCGGUAGUCC